Molecule: ribosomal RNA, 465 nt
Filed under: uncultured bacterium
Lineage: Bacteria
Description: partial 16S ribosomal RNA
Rfam family: Bacterial small subunit ribosomal RNA
Source: RNAcentral
GACGAACGCUGGCGGCGUGCUUAACACAUGCAAGUCGAACGGAAAGGCCCUGCUUGCAGGGUACUCGAGUGGCGAACGGGUGAGUAACACGUGGGUGAUCUGCCCUGCACUUCGGGAUAAGCCUGGGAAACUGGGUCUAAUUCCGGAUAGGAGCCAUUUUUAGUGUGAUGGUUGGAAAGUUUUUUCGGUGUAGGAUGAGCUCGCGGCCUAUCAGCUUGUUGGUGGGGUAAUGGCCUACCAAGGCGGCGACGGGUAGCCGGCCUGAGAGGGUGGACGGCCACAUUGGGACUGAGAGACGGCCCAGACACCUACGGGAGGCAGCAGUGGGGAAUAUUGCACAAUGGGCGCAAGCCUGAUGCAGCGACGCCGCGUGGGGGAUGACGGCCUUCGGGUUGUAAACUCCUUUCGCUAGGGACGAAGCUUUUUGUGACGGUACCUAGAUAAGAAGCACCGGCUAACUACGUG